GACGAACGCUGGCGGCGUGCUUAACACAUGCAAGUCGAACGAUGAAGCCCAGCUUGCUGGGUGGAAGAGUGGCGAACGGGUGAGUAACACGUGAGUAACCUGCACCUGACUCUGGGAUAAGCGCUAGAAAUGGCGUCUAAUACUGGAUAUGACCUAUCACCGCAUGGUGUGUAGGUGGAAAGAUUUAUCGGUUGGGGAUGGACUCGCGGCCUAUCAGCUUGUUGGUGAGGUAAUGGCUCACCAAGGCGACGACGGGUAGCCGGCCUGAGAGGGUGACCGGCCACCCUGGGACUGAGACACGGCCCCGACUCCUACGGGAGGCAGCAGUGGGGAAUACUGCACAAUGGGCGCAAGCCUGAUGCAGCAACGCCGCGUGAGGGAUGACGGCCUUCGGGUUGUAAACCUCUUUUAGUAGGGAAGAAGCGCAAGUGACGGUACCUGCAGAAAAAGCACCGGCUAACUACGUGCCAGCAGCCGCCGUAA
This 483-nucleotide ribosomal RNA is filed under the name uncultured bacterium. RNAcentral's name for it is "partial 16S ribosomal RNA". It matches the Rfam family "Bacterial small subunit ribosomal RNA", at positions 28 to 523 of the family's 1533-position model. The record is from RNAcentral.